UAGGGAAUAUUGGACAAUGGGCGAAAGCCUGAUCCAGCCAUGCCGCGUGAGUGAUGAAGGCCUUAGGGUUGUAAAGCUCUUUCGCCAGGGACGAUAAUGACGGUACCUGGAUAAGAAGCCCCGGCUAACUUCGUGCCAGCAGCCGCGGUAAUACGAAGGGGGCUAGCGUUGUUCGGAAUUACUGGGCGUAAAGCGUAUGCAGGCGGAUCGCUAAGUCAGGGGUGAAAUCCCGAGGCUCAACCUCGGAACUGCCUUUGAUACUGACGAUCUUGAGUCCGGGAGAGGUGAGUGGAACUGCGAGUGUAGAGGUGAAAUUCGUAGAUAUUCGCAAGAACACCAGUGGCGAAGGCGGCUCACUGGCCCGGUACUGAUGCUGAGAUACGAAAGCGUGGGGAGCAAACAG
Molecule: ribosomal RNA, 403 nt
Filed under: uncultured bacterium
Lineage: Bacteria
Description: bacterial SSU rRNA
Rfam family: Bacterial small subunit ribosomal RNA
Source: RNAcentral